Molecule: transfer RNA, 77 nt
Filed under: Blastochloris viridis
Lineage: Bacteria; Pseudomonadati; Pseudomonadota; Alphaproteobacteria; Hyphomicrobiales; Blastochloridaceae
Description: tRNA-Arg
Rfam family: tRNA
About the family: Transfer RNA (tRNA) molecules are approximately 80 nucleotides in length.
Source: RNAcentral
GCACUCGUAGCUCAGCUGGAUAGAGUACUUCCCUCCGAAGGAAGGGGUCGUGGGUUCGAAUCCCGCCGAGUGCGCCA